AAAAGAGUAUAAAAUCUAGGUAGUAUUUGGAGGCUUGAAACUUAAAGAAUUUGGCGGUGUUUUAAUCUUAUUAGAGGAACCUGUUUUAUGAUCGACAAUACUCGACAAAUCUCACUUAAGUUAAUAAUUUGUAUAUCGUUGUGAUAAUAAUAUUUUAUAACAAUUAUUGAAAGUAAUUUUAUUUUUAAUAUCAGAUCAAGGUUCAGUUUAUACUUAAGUAAAAGUGGGUUACAAUAUAUGAAUAUAUUACGGAGUUUACAUUUUAAAAAUAAAUGAAGGAGGAUUUAAAAGUAUUUUUAUAGUAAUGUGUUGAAUUGAAUUAGCUCUAAAACAUGC
This 336-nucleotide ribosomal RNA is filed under the name Centruroides serrano. Its description in RNAcentral is "partial 12S ribosomal RNA". The record is from RNAcentral. Lineage: Eukaryota; Metazoa; Arthropoda; Arachnida; Scorpiones; Buthidae.